Molecule: long non-coding RNA, 409 nt
Filed under: Solanum tuberosum (potato)
Lineage: Eukaryota; Viridiplantae; Streptophyta; Magnoliopsida; Solanales; Solanaceae
Description: long non-coding RNA (STUB_LNC000968)
Source: RNAcentral
CUGCAUUACUAAUCUCUGCAUUACUAAUCCAUGUAUUAAUAAUCCCUACAUUAUGCAUCUUUGUACCAAACGACCCCUAAGAGUCAAAAAGAGAAGUUGAAUUUGAGCCCUUUGGGCCUAAAUUCACAGCUGUCCAAAAGUGAGCUUUUGUUGAUGUAUUUCUGGGCUAUGGGCCCAUUCCACCCUCAUAUAUAGCUGUACAUCAGCUCCUUGAACAUGUGUUUUAGCUUUCGAGACCUGUAUUUGUACUUCCCUUUCGUGCCAUUCGGCAUGGGGGCUGACUCGGAGAGUUGUUGGGUUCAUCCCAACGAAUAAGAGAGAUGCAAGGAGGCAAAAUUGAAUUUAAUUAGCGAAUUCAGCUAAAACUAAAAUAAGAUGAAUUAAUAUUAAUUAAUUAACGAGCUUNNNN